CAUUUUUCAGUUUCCAGUGCUGAGGGUUGAACCCAGGCCCUUGACCAUGCUAGCACCAUGUGUCACACGGAGGGAUCAUGGUUUAUUCAGGGGCUCAUCGGCUGAUGGACAUUGUGCUGUUUCUACCUUAUUGGAUAAUCAGUGUCCUGAUCUCAGAGGCAAAAAUGUGUGAUUACACAAGCAACACACACGGAAGGCCCAGAGCAAUGCCUGGCACAGGGCUAGGCACCGGACCAACACAGCCUUCAGACCCGGAUCCAGCUUCUCUUCCUCCGGAAGUCUUCCCUGACUCCCUGGGAUGGGUCAUGGCUCCACUGCACAUGGCCCCGCCACAUGGUGUAAUCUAAUGUUUGUGCGAUUAUUCAAUUAGCAUCUCUGCACGGGCCGCCUGGAAGAUCCAUGACAGCGCCGGCCAUGUUUGUCUUGCCCUCCUUUCUUCACCUGUGCCCAGCAAAGAGCCAGGCACAAACGUGUUUGUGGGAGAAUCUUCGAGCCAUCUCUGAGAUCAGUCUGCCUCACAGGUGGACAACGGUCUGCAGAGAGCCCCCAGAAUGACCAAAGAUGGUUUGGGAAAAGUCCGAAACUCCUCAAUUUAACUUCUGUGUAAACUGAGCUUCCCACUGCCUCUGUUGCGAGAAAGAAUCAGCAGUGAAUGCUUUCCGAGCUGUCCUGGGCCCGCACCUUCAGCACUCUGUACAGCUUUUGUUCCUGUGGGCUCAGAGCAGAAUACCAAUGUGGAUUUAUAUGCAGACAUUUGUCUUCCCUGUAGCCUUAUGAGCA
This 780-nucleotide long non-coding RNA is filed under the name Heterocephalus glaber (naked mole-rat). Its description in RNAcentral is "lncRNA (ENSHGLG00100041280.1)". The record is from RNAcentral. Lineage: Eukaryota; Metazoa; Chordata; Mammalia; Rodentia; Bathyergidae.